Long non-coding RNA from Capsicum annuum, 876 nucleotides. RefSeq lists it as uncharacterized. The transcript is spliced from 2 exons. The record is from RefSeq and is a predicted model, not a curated record. Lineage: Eukaryota; Viridiplantae; Streptophyta; Magnoliopsida; Solanales; Solanaceae.
CUAUACACAACUUACUAGAUUGUUCAUCUGCCUUAGUUUGACCUUAUUAGGCUUACUAGGCAUUCCAUAAAAUAUGUGUGCACUGAAUAGAAUUAUACUGGUUUGCAGGGCUCUAUUUAGUUGAUUCUCACUCUUCUUGCUUUGCUAAGCAUGUUUGCAUUCACCGUCAUGAAGAAGCACUGCUUUCUCUAUAUUGGUGGUGCUUUUAUAAUCUCUGUUGGAUUAUAUAUGGGUUAUCACCGCACAAAAGUUAGAAAUAAGUUCAAUAUCAGGUGCUGAAGUUGUUUUCCUUCAUUAUAAUUUGUCAUACGGGCAAAAAUGUUUUACUUCAAUACAUUCUCAUUGCUUGACCCAAAUAUGAGAUUAACCCCAUUACGAGCAACAGAGAUUUCAAAGAAGCUCAGAGUUGUCUUUUAUGAUCUAAACCUCCUAUCUCCACUAUGGGAAUCGGGUGAAAAAGCCAAGACAUUCGUGCAACAAGCAUGGAAUCUUGCAGAUAUCAUAGAGGUCACAGAGUUAAAGUUUCUAUGUGGAAUAGAACCAUCCGAGAGGUUUGACAGCAAGGAUAAUGACAGGUCUAAGUUCACUCACUAUCCACCGGAAGUAAUUGCUCCACUUUGGCGCUCCACUUCGUUUCUUUAGAAGCUUGCUCAUUAGAGACGGUGGAGUCUGCUCUCUUAUAUUUUUGUGUCUUUUGAGUAAUACCUGUAAUAUUUAUCCAAUUGGUAACUUGACAUCGUUGCCAUGUAUAACAGAGAUAUAUUUACUUAACUUUGGAUCAAUAGAUAGCAGUAAGGUAGAGGAAAUCUACAUUGGGGUAUGAAGGGUGCUAGCCUCAAAGUAAAAUCAAAGAAUCACUAUAAAGUUGUGCUCUAU